RNAcentral lists this ribosomal RNA (794 nucleotides) under Streptococcus anginosus. RNAcentral describes it as "bacterial SSU rRNA". It matches the Rfam family "Bacterial small subunit ribosomal RNA", at positions 529 to 1345 of the family's 1533-position model. Lineage: Bacteria; Bacillati; Bacillota; Bacilli; Lactobacillales; Streptococcaceae. The record is from RNAcentral.
CGGGGGCCUGCGAUCUUUUAUUGGGCGUAUCGCGAGCCCGGGUGUAGAAAAGUCUGAAGUGAAAGGCAGUGGUUCAACCAUUGUAGGCUUUGGAAACUGUUUAACUUGAGUGCAGAAGGGGAGAGUGGAAUUCCAUGUGUAGCGGUGAAAUGCGUAGAUAUAUGGAGGAACACCGGUGGCGUAAGCGGCUCUCUGGUCUGUAACUGACGCUGAGGCUCGAAAGCGUGGGGAGCGAACAGGAUUAGAUACCCUGGCAGUCCACGCCGUAAACGAUGAGUGCUAGGUGUUAGCUCCUUUCCGGGAUGUAGCGCCGCAGCUCACGCAUUAAGAACUCCGCCUGAUGUGUACGACCGCAAGUUGGAAACUCAAAGCAAUUGACGGUCGCCCGCACAAGCGGGGAUCAUGUGGUUCACUCGGAGUGAGCGGGAGCACCUUACUUGUCUUGACAUCCCACUGACCGCCCGUAGAGAUAGGUUUCACUUCGGACACUGAUGACAGGUGCUGCAUGCCUGUAGUCAGCUCAUGUCGUGGAGAUGAUGGGUUACGUCCCCGCAUCGAGCGCACUCUUAUCGUGAGCUGCCCAUCAUUGAGUCGGGCACUCUAGCGAGACUGCCGCCAAUAAACCGGUGUCACGCUCGGGGAUGACGUCAAUCAUCAUGCCUCUUUAUCGACUGAGCUAGACAUCGUGCUACAUCGGCUGGUACAACAGUCGCAAGCUGCGACGCAAGCUAUCUCUGCAGCCAGUCUCAGUCGGAUGUAGCAGCAACUCGCUACAUGUAGCGGAUAAUAGAUCC